Molecule: microRNA, 22 nt
Filed under: Gallus gallus (chicken)
Lineage: Eukaryota; Metazoa; Chordata; Aves; Galliformes; Phasianidae
Description: gga-miR-1712-3p
Source: miRBase by way of RNAcentral
UUCAGUUAUCAGUGGAGUUUGG